GACGAACGCUGGCGGCGUGCCUAAUACAUGCAAGUCGAGCGUGGGAAGCAAACUGAAUCCUUCGGGAGGACGUUUGUGGAACGAGCGGCGGACGGGUGAGUAACACGUGGGCAACCUGCCUGUAAGACUGGGAUAACUCCGGGAAACCGGGGCUAAUACCGGAUGACACUUCGUACCGCAUGGUACGGAGUUGAAAGAUGGUUUACGCUAUCACUUACAGAUGGGCCCGCGGCGCAUUAGCUAGUUGGUGGGGUAAUGGCUCACCAAGGCGACGAUGCGUAGCCGACCUGAGAGGGUGAUCGGCCACACUGGGACUGAGACACGGCCCAGACUCCUACGGGAGGCAGCAGUAGGGAAUCUUCCGCAAUGGACGCAAGUCUGACGGAGCAACGCCGCGUGAGUGAGGAAGGUCUUCGGAUCGUAAAACUCUGUUGUUAGGGAAGAACACGUACGAGAGUCACUGCUCGUACC
Molecule: ribosomal RNA, 471 nt
Filed under: uncultured bacterium
Lineage: Bacteria
Description: bacterial SSU rRNA
Rfam family: Bacterial small subunit ribosomal RNA
Source: RNAcentral